RNAcentral lists this ribosomal RNA (301 nucleotides) under uncultured bacterium. RNAcentral describes it as "partial 16S ribosomal RNA". It matches the Rfam family "Bacterial small subunit ribosomal RNA", at positions 509 to 808 of the family's 1533-position model. The record is from RNAcentral.
CAGUCGCCGCGGUAAUACGUAGGUCCCGAGCGUUGUCCGGAUUUAUUGGGCGUAAAGGGAGCGCAGGCGGUUUAGUAAGUCUGAAGUUAAAGGCAUUGGCUCAACCAAUGUAUGCUUUGGAAACUGUUAGACUUGAGUGCAGGAGGGGAGAGUGGAAUUCCAUGUGUAGCGGUGAAAUGCGUAGAUAUAUGGAGGAACACCGGUGGCGAAAGCGGCUCUCUGGUCUGUCACUGACGCUGAGGCUCGAAAGCGUGGGUAGCGAACAGGAUUAGAUACCCGCGUAGUCCCUGUCUCUUAUACA